CCCCCUCAAGAUGAGAUUUCCCAUUUCUUCGGAAAGUAAGAUCCCUGAAAGAUGAUCAGGUAGAUAGGUUUGGAGUGGAAGUGUAGCGAUACAUGGAGCGGACAAAUACUAAUCGAUCGAGGACUUAACCAAAA
RNAcentral lists this ribosomal RNA (134 nucleotides) under Listeria monocytogenes. Its description in RNAcentral is "partial 23S ribosomal RNA". It matches the Rfam family "Bacterial large subunit ribosomal RNA", at positions 2794 to 2925 of the family's 2925-position model. Lineage: Bacteria; Bacillati; Bacillota; Bacilli; Caryophanales; Listeriaceae. The record is from RNAcentral.